RNAcentral lists this ribosomal RNA (846 nucleotides) under Tetraploa sasicola. RNAcentral's name for it is "partial large subunit ribosomal RNA". It matches the Rfam family "Eukaryotic large subunit ribosomal RNA", at positions 75 to 939 of the family's 3401-position model. Lineage: Eukaryota; Fungi; Ascomycota; Dothideomycetes; Pleosporales; Tetraplosphaeriaceae. The record is from RNAcentral.
UUGCCCCAGUAACGGCGAGUGAAGCGGCAACAGCUCAAAUUUGAAAUCUGGCCCUUUCAGGGCCCGAGUUGUAAUUUGCAGAGGGCGCUUUGGCGUUGGCUCCUGCCUAAGUUCCUUGGAACAGGACGUCAUAGAGGGUGAGAACCCCGUACGUGGCAGGCCGCCUUCGCCGUGUAAAGCCCCUUCGACGAGUCGAGUUGUUUGGGAAUGCAGCUCUAAAUGGGAGGUAAAUUCCUUCUAAAGCUAAAUACUGGCCAGAGACCGAUAGCGCACAAGUAGAGUGAUCGAAAGAUGAAAAGCACUUUGGAAAGAGAGUCAAAAAGCACGUGAAAUUGUUGAAAGGGAAGCGCUUGCAGCCAGACUUGCCUGCAGUUGUUCAUCCGGGCUCCCGCCCGGUGCACUCUUCUGCGGGCAGGCCAGCAUCAGUUUGGGCGGCCGGAUAAAGGCCCCAGGAACGUAGCUCUCUCCGGGGAGUGUUAUAGCCUGGGGCGCAAUGCGGCCAGCCCGGACUGAGGUCCGCGCAUCUGCUAGGAUGCUGGCGUAAUGGCUGUAAGCGGCCCGUCUUGAAACACGGACCAAGGAGUCUAACAUCUAUGCGAGUGUUUGGGUGUAAAGCCCGGGCGCGUAAUGAAAGUGAACGGAGGUGGGAACCCCCUGGGGUGCACCAUCGACCGAUCCUGAUGUCUUCGGAUGGAUUUGAGUAAGAGCAUAGCUGUUGGGACCCGAAAGAUGGUGAACUAUGCCUGAAUAGGGUGAAGCCAGAGGAAACUCUGGUGGAGGCUCGCAGCGGUUCUGACGUGCAAAUCGAUCGUCAAAUUUGGGCAUAGGGGCGAAAGACUAAUCGAG